RNA transcript from Hipposideros armiger (great roundleaf bat), 7583 nucleotides. It is a transcript of the gene named phosphatidylinositol-4-phosphate 5-kinase type 1 gamma, with no coding region annotated. NCBI's taxonomy places the organism in Eukaryota, Metazoa, Chordata, Mammalia, Chiroptera, Hipposideridae. The transcript is spliced from 18 exons. The record is from RefSeq and is a predicted model, not a curated record.
GCUUCCCAGGCCUGGCCCCCUCCCUCCGACCUCCAGCCGGCGGCGGUUGUUGUUCAGCGGCUGGGCCCGCUGCUCGGGUCGCACCCUGCGGCAGCCCGUCAGUCCAGCAGCUGGUCCGUGCGCGCGGCCAUGGAGCUGGAGUUGCCGGACGAGGCGGAGAGCGCCGAGGCGGGGGCCGUGACCUCGGAGGCGGCCUGGGUCGCGGAGAGCGGCGCGGCGGCAGGUUUGGCCCAGAAAAAGAUGGCCCCGAUGGAGGCCCCGGUAACGACUGGACAGCCAGGCCCUGGCCACGGGAGGAAGCUGGGCCAUAGGGGUGUGGACGCAUCCGGUGAAACCACUUACAAAAAGACCACGUCUUCCACUCUGAAGGGGGCCAUCCAGUUGGGCAUAGGCUACACCGUGGGCAACCUGAGCUCUAAGCCGGAGCGCGAUGUGCUCAUGCAGGACUUCUAUGUCGUGGAGAGCAUCUUCUUCCCCAGUGAAGGCAGCAACCUUACCCCCGCCCACCACUUCCAAGACUUCAGGUUCAAGACCUAUGCGCCUGUUGCCUUCCGCUACUUCCGGGAACUUUUUGGGAUCCGGCCAGAUGAUUACUUGUACUCGCUGUGCAACGAGCCGCUGAUCGAGCUGUCCAACCCGGGCGCCAGUGGCUCCCUCUUCUACGUCACCAGCGACGACGAGUUCAUCAUCAAGACGGUGAUGCACAAGGAGGCCGAGUUUCUGCAGAAGCUGCUGCCUGGCUACUACAUGAACCUCAACCAGAACCCUCGGACGCUGCUGCCCAAGUUCUAUGGGCUGUACUGCGUGCAGUCAGGGGGCAAGAACAUCCGCGUGGUGGUCAUGAACAACAUUCUGCCGCGCGUGGUCAAGAUGCACCUCAAGUUCGACCUCAAAGGCUCCACAUACAAGCGGCGGGCCAGCAAGAAGGAGAGGGAGAAGAGCAUCCCCACCUACAAGGAUCUGGACUUCAUCCAAGACAUGCCCGAGGGUCUCCUGCUCGAUGCUGAUACCUUCUCUGCACUUGUCAAGACGCUGCAGCGGGACUGCCUGGUGCUGGAGAGCUUCAAGAUCAUGGACUACAGCCUACUCCUGGGCGUGCACAACAUCGACCAGCAGGAGCGCGAGCGGCAGGCCGAGGGCGCCCAGAGCACGGCAGAUGAGAAGCGGCCGCUGGGCCAGAAGGCACUCUACUCCACAGCCAUGGAAUCCAUCCAGGGCGGGGCUGCGCGCGGGGAGGCCAUUGAGACGGAUGACACGAUGGGUGGGAUCCCUGCGGUGAACGGCCGAGGGGAGCGUCUGCUGCUGCAUAUUGGGAUCAUUGACAUCCUGCAGUCCUACAGGUUCAUCAAGAAGCUGGAACACACCUGGAAGGCUCUUGUCCACGAUGGGGACACCGUCUCCGUCCAUCGACCCAGCUUCUACGCUGAGCGCUUCUUUAAGUUCAUGAGCAACACGGUCUUUCGGAAGAACUCCUCCCUGAAGUCAUCACCGUCCAAGAAGGGCCGCGGUGCCUUGCUGGCCGUUAAGCCCCUGGGGCCCACAGCUGCCUUCUCAGCCAGCCAGAUCCCCAGUGAGCGGGAGGACACGCAGUAUGACCUGCGGGGGGCCCGUAGCUACCCCACGCUGGAGGAUGAAGGCCGGCCCGACCUCCUGCCCUGCACACCACCUUCUUUUGAGGAGGCCACCACUGCCUCCAUCGCCACAACCCUGUCCUCCACAUCCCUCUCCAUCCCAGAGCGGUCCCCUUCUGAAACAUCAGAGCAGCCACGUUACAGGCGGCGCACACAAUCCUCCGGACAGGAUGGCCGGCCACAGGAUGAGGUGCAUGUGGAAGAAGACCUGCAGCAGAUUACGGUGCAGGUGGAGCCCACGUGCAGCGUGGAGAUCGUGGUCCCCAAGGAGGAGGAAGAGGGGGUGGAGACUUCCCCGGCCUGCACCUCUGCCGCUGUUGUAGAAGUGGAAACUACCAGCCAGGCCUCAGAGCCCGCCAGCCAGGCUUCAGACGAGGAGGACGCGCCUGCCACUGACAUCUACUUUUUCAUGGAUGGGAGGUACUGGAUUUACUCUCCCCGGCAUCGCCGACUGCGGGCCAUGACGCUGAGCUCCUCAGGGACUGUAAGUGACCACAGCAGGCCUUCAGGGAGCCCUGCUGCCUGGAAUAGCCGGGAGCCUCGGGACCUGGCCAUCCCAUUUCCUCUGAGAAGGGACCUGGGGAAAAUAAUCACAGCAGCCAAGGGCAGUUGUGUGGGUCGCUGUGCUGUGUGCAUCCUGCAGUGAUGUUGCUUAAUCCCAUGGGAAGUGGGCAUCAGCGACUGGCAGGUGCACUGCCAGGGCUUAGGGGUCUGCAUCUGAUCCCCAGCCGCAGGCCAUCUCUGCCCCUCAUCCCAGCCCUCCCAAGCCAGGGACCUGUGGGGCAGACACUUCUCACUUGUUUGGACCUUGCUGCUGACAGCUCCCCAAGGAGCAUGUGCCCCUGUGACGGGGACUAUCACACAGGUCAGUGAGGGAUUGCAAAGCUGGACUCUUAGCUGCAGGAGAGAGGAGCUGGUAUCGCUAUACCCAUUUCACAGAUGGAGAAACAGAGGCCUCGGUUCCCCAGGGAGCCAAUGAGAGCGCACGGUUUAGACAAAAUCUGGGUCCAGACCCCCAAGCAGCCCCCUGUGUGUAGUAGACACUUGUCUACCCAGCGUGUUUGGGAAGCUAUGUGGCUGUCAUGCAGAGAUGGCCUUAUCAGUCUUGUUAUUGUCAUCAUGAGCAGUAAAUGAGGGGCCCAGAGCUGCACAGCAUGAACAGGCAGAACAGGGUGAAGAACUGAAGCAAAAAUUUCUGUUCUCGAGAGGCAGGCCCUCAGAGGCUCACACCCCGGCCCCAAAGCAAACUCCUCUGCAAGUCAUUGGGUGUUGGGUACUGCCGAGCCACCCUGAGGAGUGGAGACCACUUCCCCAGCCCCUCUUGUCACACUCUGUCCUCCUGAAAUGGGGAUGCCCCCUUCCAGGGGUGCUCCAUGAUUCAAUGGCUUGGGACAUAUAGCAGCCCCCAUGGGCUUCCUGGGGGAGCAUUAAGCAAAGGUGCCUGGAGAGGGUUGACCUGGAUUUUGAAACAGACACAUGGGGUGUGGAGAGGAAGGGGAAAGGGUGUCUUGGGAGGUGAUGCAGCGUGGGGGCUGAAAGGGGGGAGACUGGGGGAGGACAGUUGGAUGAGCAGUGGGAGGAACCCUCGGGCAAGCAGGGAGGACAUGCCCUUGGCCUGAUUUUAGUGAGGUCACCACCAGUUUCUGGAUCCCUCCCUCCUCCAGGCUCAGCUCUCUACAGGGUUCCAGUGGGGACCUUCUUGUCCCACGUUCUGAGCCCCAGCAGGGCAGCUACCCCAGCAGCCACCUUGUGCUGGGCACUGGGCACAAGCGGCCCCCAGAUAGCCUGGCCCUGGCCUCCGGCCUCCCAGGUGGGCGGCGGAGGCAGAUCAAGCCGCCACCAGUGGUCAGGGGUUUUUAUUGUGCCAUGACUGUCUGAAGGAACAUGCAGAGCCUGUGCUGGGGUCCACAGAUGGACACAGGCCUCCCAGGGCACAUGUCCCUGGGCCAGGCACCGCGACCUGAGUGAGCGACCUGUGGUGCCCAGCAGCCUGGAUGGGCCACGCGAGCAUGGGAGUCUGGUCUGUGAGGGCAGGUGUAGAGGCAAAAACUACAGAAAGAGUGCGGUAGCAGCACAGAAGUGGGGAGAGGCAGCAGGUGGGCUAGGAAGGGUGGGUCUGGCAGCUUGUCGAUUGUGGCUGUGGUGGGUUUAGGGGCCAUGGGAUACCCAGGUGGACAUGAUCAGGGCAGGUGCUCCCAGCAGAGGCCAAGCAGGGCUUGAGGUCCUUAGGCCUUGUGAUAUUAAAGGCCACAGGUGGGCUCCUGGGAGACGUGAGGAAGAAAAAGGAGAAGGUGGACUGGGGGAGCCCUGAGGAGGCCUCCAGGGCCUAGGGAGGUUCUCUAGGUGGGAGCAGACCUGGAGAGGACGCGCGCCCACCCCCUAUCUGACACAGAAUGGGGAACCCAACCUAGACACGGCUGAAAGAAGACCAGCCCCCGCCACCACCACCACCGCUCUGUGGUCCAGCAGCCCCUGGAGCCCACAUGGCAGGCAGGAUCUGAGGUUGAGGUGCUGCUGGGCUAGGACGGAAGUUCGGGUGCCACGGGGAGAGGACAGCAGAGCACACCAAGCCCCCGCCACCCUUCCUCUUCCUGACUGCACUCACUGCUUCCUGCGGCCCAUCAUGCCUGCUCCAGCCACUCAGCCCCAGAGGCCUGGCCCCCAACCCUGCCAGCCCAAGGGCCAUUCAGGUUGGGGGCAGGUCCCCCGGGAGAGGGCAGCCAGGGGCUGAGCUACCCAUUCGUCCUGCAGUGAAGGUCCGCCUCUUUUAUUUCUGUGUCUUCCUUCCUCCCGCUCACCUUUCGUGCCUCCUCGCACCCUGCUCUUCUGUGCCCUUCCUGCACGUGCCGCCCCGCCCGCCUUCCAGCCCACUGAUGAGAGGAGCUGGGUGUACUCCCCACUCCACUAUAGCACACAGGCCCACCCAGCCUCCGACGGCGAAAGUGACACAUAAUCUCUAUGUAGUCACCAACCUAGAGCAGAGCGCCCACUGCCACCCUGGUUGCUUCCUGGAGGCGCUGCCCGCCCAGUUCGGUCCAGGGCGCGGGACAUGCUGCCUGGCCACCGCUGGACCUUGCUCGCCCACGUCCUCUCCUCUGCGACGGUCGCCAGUGCUCCAAGCUGUAGAGCGAUGGCCCCAGGCUCCGUCAACUACCUAUGCCUUUGAUACUGUGAACCUUCCUGAGUUUCCAAUCACAUAUUUAUUUUGGGUCCUUACUCUGCACAGAGAUGGCAGCACACAUGUGCUUUUUUUAGAAAAAAAAAAAAACCACAGUGGAAAAAGAAACUCCAUUCCAUGCACUUCUUUGUUCUUUACUGUGCUUGCAUGUGUCUUGCUGAGGGAACAAGGCCCGUUUGCGCCCCAGUGGCCUGGUCACCCUGACUGAAAAUCCAUGCUCCGAGUCUCAGCUGGCACCGCCCUGCUCUGCCUCUGUCCGUCUUGGAUGGAGCUCCUAGGAGGGAAGGUCCAUCGGGCCCCUGCUUGUCCCCAGGGCGCCCCUGAAGACCUCCCGCCUGCACCCAGCAGCCACUCUCAGCUCAGGUUUGCAGGCCGUGUGCUGGACAUCCAUCCUUGGGGGAGGCUGACCAGUGGCCUGGAGGUGGCUCUCCACCCUGCUGACCCUUCCAUCUCUCAGCAUCUGUUUCUCCAUCACCACAUCCACCCCAGGUGACCUGGGAGCAGGAAUCACUGGGCAGCGACUAAAAUUUGGACACAUGGCCGCCCCGUGUCAGUGGAGCUCAGGGCUGAGGCUGUCUACCUCCUUCACAUGGACGGCUCAGUGUUGGGAGGACAGGCCCCAAGUGAUGGGAGACACCCUUUCAAAGCAGGAUUUCCCCUGAAUGUCCAACUCUUGAGAGGAUGCAGUCAGGCCCUCCGUCACAGGACUUCUGGAGAGCUUAUGUCCUAGAGCAGGGGCCCUCCCCAUGGGUAGGCUACAUGGCCUAGAGGGACAGACCCUCUUCAGCAAAAGUUCCCUCCCAGACUGAAGUGGGCAGUCUCUUUCUCGUUUUUAAAUGAUAGUGACACAUGUGAUGAUUAAAAGAUACAGGAAGAAAUUGUUCAUGAAAAACAAUUUUUUUUUGGUUUGUCAUCUUCAGCAGGGGCAGCUACUCCUGGGCCCAGAGUCCCAUGUGGGGGCCGCCAGGGUACCCUGCUGUGUCCAGAGGGGGCUGCUGGAGCCAACAAUUUUGCAGGGUCUCUCCUGCCUCUGCAGACUCGCACCUCCUGAGAGGUGGCAUGUCAGUGAUGGCUGCCUCCUGCCCGCUCUGCAGAGCCCCCACUUCAGCCCCACAUGGGAGGAGCUGGGAGCCAGCUCAGAGUGGAAGUCACACCUGGAAGAAUUUGUGCCCAGCCUUUGCCUCCCUGGUAGAGCUGAGACAGCUAGAGAACCCACCAAUCCAGGAAUCUGAUUUUUUUAGUCUAUUGCAUGCUGCAUACACUACUGCUCUCGUCCCCCCUCGCACAGCCUGCUGGAGGGAAUCUGUUGGCCCGGCUGCCAUCAGCUCCUCCCUGGAGAACCAGACUGUGCCCUGGGGGCUCUCCCCUCGUUGUUGCCCCUGGGGCAGCACCCAGCUCUGAACAGGGUCACCAGGGACAAUGUGCAGCCUCGGGAAGGGGACCCUCAGAGGACCUGUCAGAACAAGAUGGUGGGUAGCCUAGACUAGAAGCAAAACAGCAUCCUCUCCCGCCUAGCCAUGGAGCAUUUGUCCAGAUCCUGGGAGCACCCUCACCUGGAUUUCAGACCAGUGCAGAUAAUGCGGGCCACAAGUCACCAGUCUGUCCCUGACUCGUCCCACCAAGGGGACAGGCAGGCUGAGCAGGCAGAGCUCUGAAGGUACAUCUUGGACCUCGAGGAUGAAUGGGAACAGCUGUGUCACCCAAACGCCAAUGUGGGAGUCCCCACCCAGGCUCCCAGAGGCCAGGCACCAGAGACAUCGUGAGUUCAGGUGGGGAUGACCAGAGCCGCAGGCACAGUCCUUUAGCAGUGGGUGCUGCAUCCAAGGCACCCUCGGCCUCCUGGAGCUAUACGAGUGAGGAGGGGAGCCACCUGCGUGUCCCAUCAGGUCUGUGUUCCCAGUUGGGCCCCUCAGGUUCUCCUGAGUGGAUCACAGAACAAAUGCAUGGUCAGAUGCUGACUUGUAGGAGAAAUUUGCAAAUCUGGAUAUCAUGACAUUUCUAUUUUCAUGUUAAGUCAUGAAGAUCCCUUUGGAGACCCAUUUUGUGUUUCAUUCUUUGUCUUUCAGAGAAUGGUCACCUCAAUGCUAAAGUAGUCCCAGGACUGUGCAGAUGUGAGGCAUUUGUUUAUUCUUUUUAGGGGUAAGGGUGGGGGGAGGCAAGACCUUAUUUAUAAUAUGUAGUGAACUCAUAGCCUUCCCCAGACCUCCUGCCAGGAAGGCCCUGGACCCACCCAGCUGUUACCCUGCCUCCUCCAGGAUGGAAAUCUGUAAAUUGCCCAGUUUCCCUCCUGGGUCAUCCCCCUCCCUCCAUGGCUGCUGUCUCUGAGAAUGUGGGCAUCGUCUGACUUGCUGGUACUGUAAAAACAAAAGGCAUUUCAUGAGACUGACAAGGUGGAACUUUCCACAAGUCCCUUGCCAGCCUCCUCUCACCAUCCCCUUCUACCACCUGGCUCAGUGCAAUACUCCCAUCCCCAGUGGGGUCCCUUGCCAUGGUACUCUUCCUUGCAGCCCCUCGAUCCCACCCCAACCUUGUUUUUAUGGCUAAACUGAUUUUGAAACACAAUGAAACUGCAAACCUUGUGGGUCUUAAUUUUCACCGGGGGUCCUGUGUGCUCAGCCCCUGAGAUCUGGUGUGCAACAAUCCAGAGUGUGGCCUCCUGUGGGCACCUCUAACUGUCCAGCCACAGCUGGCCCCAUAACACCUGUAUGCAGCCCUGGGUCCCAUCCCCGCCCCUUUUUACAUUGAAGAAAUCUAAUAAAUUGGGUAAGAAGCUC